UUUAAGCUGCAGUUCUGUGCAGUCGAGCGGUAGAGAGAAGCUUGCUUCUCUUGAGAGCGGCGGACGGGUGAGUAAUGCCUAGGAAUCUGCCUGGUAGUGGGGGAUAACGCUCGGAAACGGACGCUAAUACCGCAUACGUCCUACGGGAGAAAGCAGGGGACCUUCGGGCCUUGCGCUAUCAGAUGAGCCUAGGUCGGAUUAGCUAGUUGGUGAGGUAAUGGCUCACCAAGGCGACGAUCCGUAACUGGUCUGAGAGGAUGAUCAGUCACACUGGAACUGAGACACCGGUUUCCCAGAACUUCCUACGGAAGGCAGGCACGUGGGGAAUAUUGGACAAUGGGCGAAAGCCUGAUCCAGCCAUGCCGCGUGUGUGAAGAAGGUCUUCGGAUUGUAAAGCACUUUAAGUUGGGAGGAAGGGCAGUUACCUAAUACGUAUCUGUUUUGACGUUACCGACAGAAUAAGCACCGGCUAACUCUGUGCCAGCAGCCGCGGUAAUACAGAGGGUGCAAGCGUUAAUCGGAAUUACUGGGCGUAAAGCGCGCGUAGGUGGUUUGUUAAGUUGGAUGUGAAAUCCCCGGGCUCAACCUGGGAACUGCAUUCAAAACUGACAAGCUAGAGUAUGGUAGAGGGUGGUGGAAUUUCCUGUGUAGCGGUGAAAUGCGUAGAUAUAGGAAGGAACACCAGUGGCGAAGGCGACCACCUGGACUGAUACUGACACUGAGGUGCGAAAGCGUGGGGAGCAAACAGGAUUAGAUACCCUGGUAGUCCACGCCGUAAACGAUGUCAACUAGCCGUUGGGAGCCUUGAGCUCUUAGUGGCGCACCUAACGCAUUAACUUUGACCGCCUGGGGAGUACGGCCGCAACGUUAAAACUCAAAUGAAUUGACGGGGGCCCGCACAAGCGGUGGAGCAUGUGGUUUAAUUCGAAGCAACGCGAAAAACCUUACCACGCCUUGACAUCCAAUGCAACUUUCCAGAGAUGGAUUGGUGCCGUUCGGGUAACAUUGAGACAGGUGCUGCAUGGCUGUCGUCAGCUCGUGUCGUGACAUGCUCUGGGUUAAGUCCCGUAACAAGCGCAACCCAUUGUUCCUUACUUACCAGCACGUGAUGGUGGGUUCACUUCUUAAGGAGACUGCAGGUGACAAACGCGGACGGAACGUGGGAAUGAAGGUCAAGUCAUCAAUGGCCCUUUUACGACCUGGGCUACACACGUGCUACAAUGGUCGGUACAGAGGGUUGCCAAGCCGCGAGGUGGAGCUAAUCCCAGAAAACCGAUCGUAGUCCGGAUCGCAGUCUGCAACUCGACUGCGUGAAGUCGGAAUCGCUAGUAAUCGCGAAUCAGAAUGUCGCGGUGAAUACGUUCCCGGGCCUUGUACACACCGCCCGUCACACCAUGGGAGUGGGUUGCACCAGAAGUAGCUAGUCUAACCUUCGGGAGGACGGUACCAGAUGGGACCGGUCUC
This 1464-nucleotide ribosomal RNA is filed under the name Pseudomonas lini. RNAcentral's name for it is "bacterial SSU rRNA". It matches the Rfam family "Bacterial small subunit ribosomal RNA". The record is from RNAcentral. Lineage: Bacteria; Pseudomonadati; Pseudomonadota; Gammaproteobacteria; Pseudomonadales; Pseudomonadaceae.